GGGGAUUUAGCUCAGUGGUAGAGCGCUUGCCUAGCAAGCACAAGGCCCUGGGUUCGGUUCCCGGCUCUG
This 69-nucleotide transfer RNA is filed under the name Rattus norvegicus (Norway rat). It matches the Rfam family "tRNA". From Rfam's summary of the family: Transfer RNA (tRNA) molecules are approximately 80 nucleotides in length. Their secondary structure includes four short double-helical elements and three loops (D, anti-codon, and T loops). Lineage: Eukaryota; Metazoa; Chordata; Mammalia; Rodentia; Muridae. The record is from Rfam by way of RNAcentral.